AACUUGAUGAAUGCAUUACAUAAGAAAACAGUUUCAUAUGUUUAACUGUUUAAAAUUGUGAUGUGAAAUGAAUAUUUAUAUUUCCUAGAAAACUUAGUUUUCUCUUUUUAUUUCUUGAAAACCUGCAUGCAAAACUGCAAGUUUGUAGAUUAUACAAGCAUAAAUUUUUUAUGAUGCGGAUCAAGCAUGCAAAAUAAGUAGACCUGUUGAUUCAUUCCUUAUGUUUUGGAAAAAGUGUGAGCAAUCCAGAAUCUAAUGAAUUGUUAUGAAACUUUGACAAAACGAUUGCUUUGACAUUUUGGCUCUUAAUUGGGCACUGAACUUGAUGCAGGCCUGAAAAGCCUUGCCCGAAGAAAUAUGCCAAAGCCAAAAGGAGCAGCACCUACACAUCACGAGCAGCCCUUAGGGAGCCUAAAUUGGCGACCUAGAAUGUGGUGGCACUUGACUCACAAGUGUCCAAGGAGCUCAAAUUUUUGCAGUGAUAGGAUGGGUCAUAUAAUUCAGCAGCUUCAAAAAUUCCCCAAAAUAGCACAGAAGAAAUUUCGAAACGAAACUACUUCCAGCAUGUCCAACAUUAAGCUUUCCAACACAAGUUGAAUCAUGCCAAUUGCAAUUCAGAUGACAAAUAGUUGAAAAUUUGAGCUUGUAUCAGCAUUAUAUCAGUCUGUAAUUUGAUAGCGGAACCUUUAUCGUCGAACUAAAGUUGGAUGGUAGUUAGUAUGCUACCAGACUUAUUCGGAUGGCAUAGAGCCUACCUUAGAACUAGUCAGCCUAGGUUAGAUCUGAUGGCAGUUAUGGUGCUAUCUGACCAAACUAACAGCAGGAUAGCUGCCAUUAUAACUAUUUUGCUUCCAGAGCACCCUUAAGGCAUAGGAUAUGUUUCUAGAAGCCUUGUUUUGCAAAUUAUUUGACUCCUUGUCAAGUUCUAAGGGAUUCCAUGAGUAUCCAUGUAAGGGCCCCAUAACACUAUACAUAUCCCUAUACCAUGGUCUGUCGAACCGGUCCGCACCGGGCCGG
RNAcentral lists this long non-coding RNA (1017 nucleotides) under Phoenix dactylifera (date palm). Its description in RNAcentral is "long non-coding RNA (PDAC_LNC001985)". The record is from RNAcentral. Lineage: Eukaryota; Viridiplantae; Streptophyta; Magnoliopsida; Arecales; Arecaceae.